GUGUCAGCCGCCGCGGUAAUACGGAGGGUGCAAGCGUUAUCCGGAUUCACUGGGUUUAAAGGGUGCGUAGGCGGAUUUGUAAGUCCGUGGUGAAAUCUCCGAGCUUAACUCGGAAACUGCCAUGGAUACUAUAAGUCUUGAAUGUUGUGGAGGUUUGCGGAAUAUGUCAUGUAGCGGUGAAAUGCUUAGAUAUGACAUAGAACACCGAUUGCGAAGGCAGCAGGCUACACAAAUAUUGACGCUGAGGCACGAAAGCGUGGGGAUCAAACAGGAUUAGAUACCCUGGUAGUCCACGCCCUAAACGAUGAUUACUCGACAUUUGCGAUACACAGCAAGUGUCUGAGCGAAAGCAUUAAGUAAUCCACCUGGGAAGUACGACCGCAAGGUUGAA
This 391-nucleotide ribosomal RNA is filed under the name uncultured bacterium. RNAcentral describes it as "bacterial SSU rRNA". It matches the Rfam family "Bacterial small subunit ribosomal RNA", at positions 505 to 898 of the family's 1533-position model. The record is from RNAcentral.